UACGGGGGGGGCAAGCGUUGUUCGGAAUUACUGGGCGUAAAGGGCUCGUAGGCGGCCAACUAAGUCAGACGUGAAAUCCCUCGGCUUAACCGGGGAACUGCGUCUGAUACUGGAUGGCUUGAGUUCGGGAGAGGGAUGCGGAAUUCCAGGUGUAGCGGUGAAAUGCGUAGAUAUCUGGAGGAACACCGGUGGCGAAGGCGGCAUCCUGGACCGAUACUGACACUGAGGAGCGAAAGCGUGGGGAGCGAACAGG
This 253-nucleotide ribosomal RNA is filed under the name uncultured bacterium. RNAcentral's name for it is "partial 16S ribosomal RNA". It matches the Rfam family "Bacterial small subunit ribosomal RNA", at positions 524 to 776 of the family's 1533-position model. The record is from RNAcentral.